Molecule: unclassified non-coding RNA, 337 nt
Filed under: uncultured Ceratobasidiaceae
Lineage: Eukaryota; Fungi; Basidiomycota; Agaricomycetes; Cantharellales; Ceratobasidiaceae
Description: sequence contains ITS2
Source: RNAcentral
AACGCACCUUGCGCUCCUUGGUAUUCCUUGGAGCAUGCCUGUUUGAGUAUCAUGAAAUCUUCAAAGUAAAUCUUUUUGUUAACUCAAUUUGGUUUCACUUUGGUAUUGGAGGUUCUUGCAGCUUCACACGCUGCUCCUCUUUGUUCAUUAGCUGGAUCUCAGUGUUAUGCUUGGUUCCACUCGGCGUGAUAAAUUAUCUAUCGCUGAGGACACCCGGUAAAAAAGGUGGCCAAGGUAAAUGCAGAUGAACUGCUUCUAAUAGUCCAUUCACUUGGACAAUAAAAUAAUUAUUUUAUGAUCUGAUCUCAAAUCAGGUAGGACUACCCGCUGAACUUAA